GAAACCCCGUCGCCUUCCUCUUCCUCUCUACCGGCGCUCACUUACCCUCUUCCACAACUCUUCUUUCUCUUCACCUUCUUUUGUGCUCCCUUCCACAGGCAUCACCGUGCUCAUGGUUGACAAUGCUGGUAUUGCUCCUGCUCCUAUGAGGCAUCCCGUUUCCAAGCAGGGCUUGGAUAGUCGCAACAAACAGGAAAUCCAGGCUUCUAAGGAAUAUUGUGUGAGGUUCAUCCGAAGGUUAGGAAAAAAUUGGACAGGGGAUGCGUAGCCUGCAAUUCGAGCGUUGGGGCAGUGUUCUUGUUGCUUGGAACAGUUGGUGAGUAUUUGCUCAUGUGCUUUCUAUGCAAUCUCAAUAUGUGCAAUGUGGUUGUUCAAUACACCAACAGCAAUCAAUGGUUGCUUACGGCUGUAUAUUAGUACAUCCUUAGUAACAUAUUAUGGGAAUACUUUUCUAUGCU
Molecule: long non-coding RNA, 458 nt
Organism: Musa acuminata AAA Group (dessert banana)
Lineage: Eukaryota; Viridiplantae; Streptophyta; Magnoliopsida; Zingiberales; Musaceae
Exons: 2
Source: RefSeq, a predicted model, not a curated record